Molecule: long non-coding RNA, 257 nt
Filed under: Elaeis guineensis (African oil palm)
Lineage: Eukaryota; Viridiplantae; Streptophyta; Magnoliopsida; Arecales; Arecaceae
Description: long non-coding RNA (EGUI_LNC079386)
Source: RNAcentral
CGAGACUUUCAGUGGAGGCCCAUCGCCUACCGAAAUAAAAUCUGAGACUAAAUUAAUUACUAAAAAUUAUUUACUGAAAUAAUUGAUUAAGAAUCUAUCCAUAGAUGUACAUGGGUGAGCCAGCCAAAGUCGGGCUCAUGUGCAACUGUGUGAAUUCUAGUAUCUGAUGCGGGACAACCCUAAAGAAGAGAGAAAAAGAAAAUCAAUCCUAAUGAUCAAGCUUUCUUCUGUUCAUCAACAAUAAAUCACAUCCAGUC